RNAcentral lists this long non-coding RNA (762 nucleotides) under Fukomys damarensis (Damara mole-rat). Its description in RNAcentral is "lncRNA (ENSFDAG00000032281.1)". The record is from RNAcentral. Lineage: Eukaryota; Metazoa; Chordata; Mammalia; Rodentia; Bathyergidae.
CCCUGCACCAAUCAUGGCCCUGAACUUGGACCAAUCACAGACCUGUAGCUGCUUUAUAAGAGGUGCUUACCAGCCACUUCUGGGCCAGUUUAGGGUCCACCCAGUUUCCUGACCCUGUGCAGCAGCACAGGUCUCUUGAAACACAGCCUCACUUUGGUGGUCCUGUAGUGGAGGUUCCAAAUGUCCUGUAAAUCUGCUGGGGAUCUUACCCUGAGCAGUGUGGACAGAGCAGACUUUUCAAAAGGAAGAGGAGUAAACAGGAGGGAGUGGCCCCAGAUGGUGGUGACUCGGAAACUACAUUACCAGAGCACUGGGAUGGACCUAGGCCUUUCCCUCCGUCCGGUGGCCCUUGUGUGGCUGUGCACUUGCCGCAGGAGUUUGCGGGUCCUCAGGCAGUGAGGCGACCACACAGCAAGGACUUCAUGGAGGCUCCCUGGACGCCAACAGUACUAACUGGCGUGUGAGGGACCCUGGAAGAGGGCCUCAGCCCAGGACUCUGCCAAGUGACUGUGACCCCCCACACAGGAAUGAGGGUCCACCAGGCCACUUCUAGACCCUGGCCCAAAGAAGCCCUUCUUACGGCCAAUAAUGAAUGAUCAUUUCAAGCCACUGUGUUCGGGGCGCUUUGUUCCCCAGCACUGAGUAAUUCAGGAAGGGGGGAGGCAGGAGCUUUGGCCUGGAGCUCUGGGCUGGAGCAGUGGGUGAAGGACAGCGCGGAGAUAAGCAGGCAGCCAGGCAGAGGACAGGGUUAGAAGUCAGGAG